GAGAGAACAAAGAAAAGGAAUGAGAGAGUGAGCAAAUGUGUUUCAAGGAACCAGAGCACAAUCAAGCCCUUCGUGACCCUGUACACCCAUGCUCACCUUAAGACCCCCAUGCUCAAAUGUUUUUGGAAGUGUACAGUAAAAGCAGCCAUGCUGACCAGAGCGUUUGCAAAAGCCCAUGACUGACACCCAGUGGUAACUGCUGGUAAUUUAGACUAGAAAGUAACCAAUGGCACCUUCAAGUAACGGGAUCGCAACCCUCGGUGUCGCGUCCGCACCGUGCUC
Molecule: long non-coding RNA, 282 nt
Organism: Galeopterus variegatus (Sunda flying lemur)
Lineage: Eukaryota; Metazoa; Chordata; Mammalia; Dermoptera; Cynocephalidae
Exons: 3
Source: RefSeq, a predicted model, not a curated record